UUACUGUAAAAAUUCUGUGACCAAACACAGAAAAGGCAAAGGUGAAGAAAGGUGAAAUUUACAUGCACAAAGAUUGUUUUUUUUACCAGAAAUAUAAUGAUUUUCCUAAAAACCAUAGUGGUCAGAGUAGUUAAAAUGAAGACAUAUACAUAUAUGAAAAAACAAAAGCAUAUCUGCUUGACUGACUGACUGACUGAAGUGACCAAAUCUUAUAUCUGUUACCACACUAUUAUAUUGCUGCCCUCAAGGCCCCUCUUGCAGCUUCGCGUUUCAUCUCUGCAGCUUGACCACUCCCGCG
RNAcentral lists this unclassified non-coding RNA (298 nucleotides) under Hevea brasiliensis (rubber tree). Lineage: Eukaryota; Viridiplantae; Streptophyta; Magnoliopsida; Malpighiales; Euphorbiaceae. The record is from RNAcentral.